Molecule: ribosomal RNA, 447 nt
Filed under: uncultured bacterium
Lineage: Bacteria
Description: SSU rRNA
Rfam family: Bacterial small subunit ribosomal RNA
Source: RNAcentral
AGGAUGAACGCUGGCGGCGUGCCUAAUACAUGCAAGUCGAACGAGGUCUUCGGACCGAGUGGCGAACGGGUGAGUAACACGUUGGUACCUACCCCGAAGUGGGGAAUAACUGCCCGAAAGGGUGGCUAAUACCGCAUAAUACCGCAAGGUUAAAGCAGUAAUGCGCUUCGGGAGGGGCCUGCGUCCCAUUAGCUAGUUGGUAGGGUAAUGGCCUACCAAGGCGACGAUGGGUAGCUGGAUCGAGAGGUUGACCAGCCACACUGGGACUGAGAUACGGCCCAGACUCCUACGGGAGGCAGCAGUAAGGAAUCUUCCACAAUGGACGAAAGUCUGAUGGAGCAACGCCGCGUGCAGGAUGACGGCCUUCGGGUUGUAAACUGCUUUUAUAUGGAAGAUUAUGACGGUACCAUAUGAAUAAGGACCGGCUAACUACGUGCCAGCAGCCGC